UGGGGAAUAUUGCACAAUGGGCGCAAGCCUGAUGCAGCGACGCCGCGUGGGGGAUGACGGCCUUCGGGUUGUAAACUCCUUUCGCCAGGGACGAAGCGUUUUGUGACGGUACCUGGAGAAGAAGCACCGGCUAACUACGUGCCAGCAGCCGCGGUAAUACGUAGGGCGCAAGCGUUGUCCGGAAUUACUGGGCGUAAAGAGCUCGUAGGUGGUUUGUCACGUCGUCUGUGAAAUUCCACAGCUUAACUGUGGGCGUGCAGGCGAUACGGGCUGACUUGAGUACUGUAGGGGUAACUGGAAUUCCUGGUGUAGCGGUGAAAUGCGCAGAUAUCAGGAGGAACACCGAUGGCGAAGGCAGGUUACUGGGCAGUUACUGACGCUGAGGAGCGAAAGCAUGGGUAGCAAACAGGAUUAGAUACCCUGGUAGUCCAUGCCGUAAACGGUGGGCGCUAGGUGUAGGGGCCUUUUGGGGUUUCUGUGCCGUAGCUAACGCAUUAAGCGCCCCGCCUGGGGAGUACGGCCGCAAGGCUA
This 531-nucleotide ribosomal RNA is filed under the name uncultured bacterium. RNAcentral's name for it is "bacterial SSU rRNA". It matches the Rfam family "Bacterial small subunit ribosomal RNA", at positions 355 to 896 of the family's 1533-position model. The record is from RNAcentral.